GUGCUCAUUUUGGCAGCACAUACAUUAAAAUUAGAACGAUACAGAGAUUAUUAGCCUGGCCCCGGGCAAGAAUGACAUGCAAAUUUGUAAAGCGUUCCAUGUAUGU
Small nuclear RNA from Jaculus jaculus (lesser Egyptian jerboa), 106 nucleotides. The record is from RefSeq and is a predicted model, not a curated record. Lineage: Eukaryota; Metazoa; Chordata; Mammalia; Rodentia; Dipodidae.